RNAcentral lists this ribosomal RNA (253 nucleotides) under uncultured bacterium. RNAcentral describes it as "partial 16S ribosomal RNA". It matches the Rfam family "Bacterial small subunit ribosomal RNA", at positions 524 to 776 of the family's 1533-position model. The record is from RNAcentral.
UACAGAGACUGCGAGCGUUAUUCGGAUUCACUGGGCGUAAAGGGUGCGCAGGCGGCCAAGUGUGUGAGGCGUGAAAGCCCGGGGCUUAACCCCGGAAUUGCACCUCAAACUACAUGGCUAGAGCAUUGGAGAGGGAAGCGGAAUUCCCGGUGUAGUGGUGAAAUGCGUAGAUAUCGGGAGGAACACCAGUGGCGAAGGCGACUAUCUGGGGUGCAACUGACGCUGAGGCGCGAAGGCUAGGGUAGCAAACAGG